RNAcentral lists this ribosomal RNA (253 nucleotides) under uncultured bacterium. Its description in RNAcentral is "partial 16S ribosomal RNA". It matches the Rfam family "Bacterial small subunit ribosomal RNA", at positions 524 to 776 of the family's 1533-position model. The record is from RNAcentral.
UACGUAGGGUGCAAGCGUUACUCGGAAUUACUGGGCGUAAAGCGUGCGCAGGCGGUUUUGUAAGUCCGAUGUGAAAUCCCCGGGCUUAACCUGGGAACUGCGUUUGAAACUACAAGGCUAGAGUGUGACAGAGGGGGGUGGAAUUCCACGUGUAGCAGUGAAAUGCGUAGAGAUGUGGAGGAACACCGAUGGCGAAGGCAGCCCCCUGGGUUAACACUGACGCUCAGGCACGAAAGCGUGGGGAGCAAACAGG